AGAGUUUGAUCCUGGCUCAGAACGAACGCUGGCGGCAUGCCUAACACAUGCAAGUCGAACGAUGGCUUCGGCCAUAGUGGCGCACGGGUGAGUAACACGUGGGAACCUGCCUUUCGGUUCGGAAUAACGUUUGGAAACGAACGCUAACACCGGAUACGCCCUUCGGGGGAAAGUUUACGCCGAGAGAGGGGCCCGCGUCCGAUUAGGUAGUUGGUGGGGUAACGGCCUACCAAGCCGACGAUCGGUAGCUGGUCUGAGAGGAUGAUCAGCCACACUGGGACUGAGACACGGCCCAGACUCCUACGGGAGGCAGCAGCGGGGAAUAUUGGACAAUGGGCGCAAGCCUGAUCCAGCAAUGCCGCGUGAGUGAUGAAGGCCUUAGGGUUGUAAAGCUCUUUCGCACGCGACGAUGAUGACGGUAGCGUGAGAAGAAGCCCCGGCUAACUUCGUGCCAGCAGCCGCGGUAAUACGAAGGGGGCUAGCGUUGAUCGGAAUUACUGGGCGUAAAGGGCGCGU
This 516-nucleotide ribosomal RNA is filed under the name uncultured freshwater bacterium. Its description in RNAcentral is "bacterial SSU rRNA". It matches the Rfam family "Bacterial small subunit ribosomal RNA", at positions 8 to 572 of the family's 1533-position model. The record is from RNAcentral.